Molecule: transfer RNA, 94 nt
Filed under: Allostella vacuolata
Lineage: Bacteria; Pseudomonadati; Pseudomonadota; Alphaproteobacteria; Rhodospirillales; Allostellaceae
Description: Stella vacuolata tRNA-Tyr
Source: RNAcentral
GGCGAUGUUGGUGCGCUCGCAGUUGCCGCCGAUAUUGUAGCUCUCGCCGAUGCGGCCCGCCUCGAACACCCGGUGCAGCGCCCGGGCAUGGUCC